This 460-nucleotide ribosomal RNA is filed under the name uncultured bacterium. RNAcentral describes it as "partial 16S ribosomal RNA". It matches the Rfam family "Bacterial small subunit ribosomal RNA", at positions 338 to 795 of the family's 1533-position model. The record is from RNAcentral.
CCUACGGGUGGCAGCAGUGAGGAAUAUUGGUCAAUGGGCGAGAGCCUGAACCAGCCAAGCCGCGUGAGGGAUGACUGUCCUAUGUGUUGUAAACUUCUUUUGUCUGGGAAUAAAGUCCAGGAUGUAUCCCGGUAUGUAUGUACCAUAUGAAUAAGGAUCGGCUAACUCCGUGCCAGCAGCCGCGGUAAUACGGAGGAUCCGAGCGUUAUCCGGAUUUAUUGGGUUUAAAGGGAGCGUAGGCGGGCGCUUAAGUCAGUUGUGAAAGUCUGGGGCUCAACCGUAAAAUGGCGGUUGAUACUGGCUGGCUGGAGUGCGGGAGAGGUAGGCGGAAUUCGUGGUGUAGCGGUGAAAUGCUUAGAUAUCGCGAAGAACUCCGAUUGCGAAGGCAGCUUACUGGAUUGUAACUGACGCUGAUGCUCGAAAGUGUGGGUAUCGAACAGGAUUAGAUACCCUAGUAGUC